AAAUAAACUCCUUUUCCUUUCUUCCCCUCCCGUCAUUUGUUUCCUUGUGAGUGCGCACUGCACCUCCCGUUCUCGUUCUAAUAUCAAGCAAAAUGCCACAGCGCCGAGACUCACAUUUGCGAAUAAACCUGCGGACCAUAAUUCAAGUCGCGCGUAACGUCGAAAGAAUCAUCUGCAAAAAAAUGGGUGCAACACGAGGACUUCCCAAGAAAAUGGGUGAAAUAUAAGCACUUCGCAGGAGCUCACCCAACCUAGUACUACUCUCGCCCAAGCACCC
This 277-nucleotide long non-coding RNA is filed under the name Carica papaya (papaya). RNAcentral's name for it is "long non-coding RNA (CPAP_LNC016073)". The record is from RNAcentral. Lineage: Eukaryota; Viridiplantae; Streptophyta; Magnoliopsida; Brassicales; Caricaceae.